This 464-nucleotide ribosomal RNA is filed under the name Vreelandella stevensii. Its description in RNAcentral is "partial 16S ribosomal RNA". It matches the Rfam family "Bacterial small subunit ribosomal RNA", at positions 338 to 795 of the family's 1533-position model. Lineage: Bacteria; Pseudomonadati; Pseudomonadota; Gammaproteobacteria; Oceanospirillales; Halomonadaceae. The record is from RNAcentral.
CCUACGGUGGCAGCAGUGGGGAAUAUUGGACAAUGGGCGAAAGCCUGAUCCAGCCAUGCCGCGUGUGUGAAGAAGGCCUUCGGGUUGUAAAGCACUUUCAGUGGGGAAGAAAGCCUUGGGGCUAAUACCCUCGAGGAAGGACAUCACCCACAGAAGAAGCACCGGCUAACUCCGUGCCAGCAGCCGCGGUAAUACGGAGGGUGCGAGCGUUAAUCGGAAUUACUGGGCGUAAAGCGCGCGUAGGCGGUCUGAUAAGCCGGUUGUGAAAGCCCCGGGCUCAACCUGGGAACGGCAUCCGGAACUGUCAGGCUAGAGUGCAGGAGAGGAAGGUAGAAUUCCCGGUGUAGCGGUGAAAUGCGUAGAGAUCGGGAGGAAUAUCAGUGGCGAAGGCGGCCUUCUGGACUGACACUGACGCUGAGGUGCGAAAGCGUGGGUAGCAAACAGGAUUAGAUACCCCAGUAGUC